AUUGAAUGAAUGAACUGAGAAGGGGAAUGGUCAGAGAGAUAAGGGUAAGUACUGGUGGAAUGAAGAGGGCAGAACCCAGAUGGAAUGUAAAGACGUUGAAGGAGAGAAAAUGGAGGCACAGAGUGUAUACAACUCAUUUGAGGAAUUUGGACAGGAAUGGGAGCCAGGGAUCUAUGAUUUUAGAGGCCAAAGGAAUACAUAUAAGGUUUGUUUUAUUUUUUGUUUUUUGGUUUUUUUUUUCAGUUUAGGGGAGACAAAAGUAUAUGUGAAAGCAGAAGAGAUGGAGCCACCAGUGAGUGAAUGGUUGAAUGUGGAGGUCAAUGGAGGGAGGAAAAGCAAGGGCAAGUGUGUUUAGAAGUGCACCUUGCUGGUCUGCCUGUUGGAGUUAUCGCUCAGUUUUCAGCUGAGAGGAAAUAUGAGGGAUUGAGCAUGCUGCCUCCACAAAAUGAAGAAUAAUUGGCUACAACUGUGGCAGUUACUGUGACUAUCCUGCUGAGCUGAAAAAAGCCCCAAACUGUGCUCUUGAAACCACAGGACUCAAUGGCUUUUAUUUUAUUAUUGUAUUUAUCCCUAUCCUGGUCUUUUAAGCUAUAUUGUGUUCUGAUUGUUUAGUUUUUUCUUUAUGUUUCUGUCACCAGUCCCCUUUCCUCCUUUUUUCUUAGACUGCAAACCACAGGAGGGCCAAGGACCCCGUUGAAUUCUCACUCAGUGCAUUCUUUCCCAGUGCUUAUUACAGUACUUUUCUCACCAUUAAA
Molecule: long non-coding RNA, 755 nt
Organism: Ornithorhynchus anatinus (platypus)
Lineage: Eukaryota; Metazoa; Chordata; Mammalia; Monotremata; Ornithorhynchidae
Exons: 3
Source: RefSeq, a predicted model, not a curated record